UACGUAGGGUGCAGGCGUUAAUCGGAAUUACUGGGCGUAAAGCGUGCGCAGGCGGUCUUUUAAGUCAGAUGUGAGAUCCCCGGGCUUAACCUGGGAACUGCGUUUGAAACUGAAAGGCUAGAGUGUGGCAGAGGGGGGUGGAAUUCCACGUGUAGCAGUGAAAUGCGUAGAGAUGUGGAGGAACACCGAUGGCGAAGGCAGCCCCCUGGGCUAACACUGACGCUCAUGCACGAAAGCGUGGGGAGCAAACAGG
Molecule: ribosomal RNA, 253 nt
Filed under: uncultured bacterium
Lineage: Bacteria
Description: partial 16S ribosomal RNA
Rfam family: Bacterial small subunit ribosomal RNA
Source: RNAcentral